UCAGAACUGCAGCAGAUCAUGACCACUGGGGGAGCCACUGACUGCAUUUUCCUGAGACACUAGGACAACCCCACCCUCCUGCUGGGGACCUGAAAUCCCAGCUUACAGAGCACUUCCGGCCUCCGUGUGAGGCAGCCCAACCGUUAGGAUGCUGCUCCUGAGAUGCUUCUCCUUCUCCUGCCUCUGGAUUUUUGGUCUUGGGCAGUUGGAGCAACCUGAAAUAUCGGUCACCAGAGUGACAGAUGAGAGUGCCCAAAUUUCCUGUAUAGUUUCUCUUCCAGACUUCAACACAGCAGAUAUACAUUGGUACCGGCAAAAAACAAAUCAACAGUUUGAGUAUCUAAUGUAUGUCAGGUCAAGAUACAAUCAACGCCCCUUAGAAGGGAAGAACAAGAAAAUUGAAGCAAGUAAAGAUUUUCAAACUUCUACUUCAACCUUGAAAGUAAAUUACUUGAAGAAAGAGGAUGAAGCUACCUACUACUGUGCGCUCUGGACGGGCACAUCAUGGUUCAAGAUAUUUGCCAAAGGAACAAAGCUCGUAGUAAUUCCCCCAGACAAACGCAUUGACUCCGACAUUUCUCCCAAGCCUACUAUGUUUCUUCCUUCUGUUGCUGAAACAAAUCUCCAUAAGGGCGGGACAUACCUUUGUCUCCUUGAAAAUUUCUUUCCUGACAUCAUAAGGGUGUACUGGAAAGAAAAGGAUAGUGAUAAGAUUCUGGAAUCUCAAGAGGGAAACACCAUGAAAACUAAUGACAGAUACAUGAAAUUAAGUUGGCUGACGGUGACUGAAGAUUCAAUGGAUAAAGAACAUAGUUGUAUUGUCAAACAUGAAAAGAACAAAAGAGGAGUUGACCAAGAGAUUCUGUUUCCUCCUACAGGUAAAGCUGCCAACAACAUUACUCCCACAGAAGCUGCUUUGAAGACUGAGAGUGCUUUCACAACUAUUACUGUUAAUCCCAAAGAGAGUGUUUUGAGACUUGGAAAUGUUACCAAUGCUACUGAUCUGGAAGCUUACUUGAAAGGAAGAAAGGAUGUGCUGCAGCUUCAGGUCACCACCACCUAUGCAUUCUACACCUACCUCAUCCUGUUUGUCAAGAGCGUGGUCCACUUGGCCUUCGUUGCAUUCUGUCUGUUCAGAAGAGCACCCAUGCCUUGUGAUGGUCAACAUUCAUAAGAGAUCAUCAUCCCUUAUGAAACAGGAGGGUCCUGCUAUCGGCAUCCUUCCUGCAUCUCAAUAUCUGCUGAGGGUCUAGCUGGGCUUGCUUGCUGGCUUUGACCUCAAGGACACAUAUGUGUGGGUUUUGUAUCAUUACUAUUGUUCUCACAGCAGAGAGGAAACUGAUCAACCUCACUCUUCAACAAACAGUAGCUUCCAAGCAUCCAGCCACCCCAACCCACCC
Non-coding RNA from Apodemus sylvaticus (European woodmouse), 1400 nucleotides. Lineage: Eukaryota; Metazoa; Chordata; Mammalia; Rodentia; Muridae. The record is from the annotation of a RefSeq genome assembly.